AGCUUGCUGGGUGGAUCAGUGGCGAACGGGUGAGUAACACGUGAGUAACCUGCCCCUGACUCUGGGAUAAGCCUUGGAAACGAGGUCUAAUACCGGAUACGUGACGCUCAGGCAUCUGAUGCGUCUGGAAAGAUUUAUCGGUCAGGGAUGGACUCGCGGCCUAUCAGCUUGUUGGUGGGGUAACGGCCCACCAAGGCGACGACGGGUAGCCGGCCUGAGAGGGCGACCGGCCACACUGGGACUGAGACACGGCCCAGACUCCUACGGGAGGCAGCAGUGGGGAAUAUUGCACAAUGGGCGCAAGCCUGAUGCAGCGACGCCGCGUGAGGGAUGAAGGCCUUCGGGUUGUAAACCUCUUUCAGCAGGGAAGAAGCGCAAGUGACGGUACCUGCAGAAGAAGCGCCGGCUAACUACGUGCCAGCAGCCGCGGUAAUACGUAGGGCGCAAGCGUUGUCCGGAAUUAUUGGGCGUAAAGAGCUCGUAGGCGGUCUGUCGCGUCUGCUGUGAAAACUCGAGGCUCAACCUCGGGCUUGCAGUGGGUACGGGCAGACUAGAGUGCGGUAGGGGAGACUGGAAUUCCUGGUGUAGCGGUGGAAUGCGCAGAUAUCAGGAGGAACACCGAUGGCGAAGGCAGGUCUCUGGGCCGCAACUGACGCUGAGGAGCGAAAGCAUG
RNAcentral lists this ribosomal RNA (673 nucleotides) under bacterium. RNAcentral describes it as "bacterial SSU rRNA". It matches the Rfam family "Bacterial small subunit ribosomal RNA", at positions 77 to 763 of the family's 1533-position model. The record is from RNAcentral.